CAGAGUCGUAAAACACUCCCAACCCAUGUGAACUUACCUUUGUUGCCUCGGCAGGACCUACCCGGUAGUUACCCUGUAGCUACCCUGCAGCCUGCCGGUGGACCAUUCAACUCUUGUUAUUUUAUAGAAAUCUGAGCGUCUUAUUAAAUAAGUCA
RNAcentral lists this unclassified non-coding RNA (155 nucleotides) under uncultured Phlogicylindrium. RNAcentral describes it as "sequence contains ITS1". Lineage: Eukaryota; Fungi; Ascomycota; Sordariomycetes. The record is from RNAcentral.